AGUGAACGCUGGCGGUAGGCCUAACACAUGCAAGUCGAGCGGCAGCACAGUAAGAGCUUGCUCUUACGGGUGGCGAGUGGCGGACGGGUGAGGAAUACAUCGGAAUCUACUUUUUCGUGGGGGAUAACGUAGGGAAACUUACGCUAAUACCGCAUACGACCUACGGGUGAAAGCAGGGGAUCUUCGGACCUUGCGCGAUUGAAUGAGCCGAUGUCGGAUUAGCUAGUUGGCGGGGUAAAGGCCCACCAAGGCGACGAUCCGUAGCUGGUCUGAGAGGAUGAUCAGCCACACUGGAACUGAGACACGGUCCAGACUCCUACGGGAGGCAGCAGUGGGGAAUAUUGGACAAUGGGCGCAAGCCUGAUCCAGCCAUACCGCGUGGGUGAAGAAGGCCUUCGGGUUGUAAAGCCCUUUUGUUGGGAAAGAAAAGCAGCAGGUUAAUACCCCGCUGUUCUGACGGUGCCCAAAGAAUAAGCACCGGCUAACUUCGUG
RNAcentral lists this ribosomal RNA (492 nucleotides) under uncultured bacterium. RNAcentral describes it as "partial 16S ribosomal RNA". It matches the Rfam family "Bacterial small subunit ribosomal RNA", at positions 29 to 507 of the family's 1533-position model. The record is from RNAcentral.